This 186-nucleotide ribosomal RNA is filed under the name uncultured bacterium. RNAcentral describes it as "partial 16S ribosomal RNA". It matches the Rfam family "Bacterial small subunit ribosomal RNA", at positions 1315 to 1500 of the family's 1533-position model. The record is from RNAcentral.
CCUGCAUGAAGCUGGAAUUGCUAGUAAUCGCGGAUCAGCAAGCCGCGGUGAAUACGUUCCCGGGCCUUGUACACACCGCCCGUCACACCAUGAGAGUCGGGAACACCCGAAGUCCGUAGUCUAACCGCAAGGGGGGCGCGGCCGAAGGUGGGUCCGGUAAUUGGGGUGAAGUCGUAACAAGGUACC